CUUUCCACGGUUUCUGUGUCGUAGCUAACGCAUUAAGCGCCCCGCCUGGGGAGUACGGCCGCAAGGCUAAAACUCAAAGGAAUUGACGGGGGCCCGCACAAGCGGCGGAGCAUGCGGAUUAAUUCGAUGCAACGCGAAGAACCUUACCAAGGCUUGACAUACACCGGAAACGGCCAGAGAUGGUCGCCCCCUUGUGGUCGGUGUACAGGUGGUGCAUGGUUGUCGUCAGCUCGUGUCGUGAGAUGUUGGGUUAAGUCCCGCAACGAGCGCAACCCUCGUUCUAUGUUGCCAGCGCGUUAUGGCGGGGACUCAUAGGAGACUGCCGGGGUCAACUCGGAGGAAGGUGGGGAUGACGUCAAAUCAUCAUGCCCCUUAUGUCUUGGGCUUCACGCAUGCUACAAUGGCCGGUACAAAGGGCUGCGAUACCGUAAGGUGGAGCGAAUCCCAAAAAGCCGGUCUCAGUUCGGAUUGAGGUCUGCAACUCGACCUCAUGAAGUCGGAGUCGCUAGUAAUCGCAGAUCAGCAACGCUGCGGUGAAUACGUUCCCGGGCCUUGUACACACCGCCCGUCAAGUCAUGAAAGUCGGUAACACCCGAAGCCGGUGGCCUAACCCUUGUGGAAGGAGCCGUCGAAGGUGGGAUCGGUGAUUAGGACUAAGUCGUAACAAGGUAGCCGUACCGGAAGGUGCGGCUG
This 693-nucleotide ribosomal RNA is filed under the name Curtobacterium sp. B18. Its description in RNAcentral is "bacterial SSU rRNA". It matches the Rfam family "Bacterial small subunit ribosomal RNA", at positions 829 to 1520 of the family's 1533-position model. The record is from RNAcentral. Lineage: Bacteria; Bacillati; Actinomycetota; Actinomycetes; Micrococcales; Microbacteriaceae.